CAAAAUGUAGCUUAAUUAAAGCGCCUCGCUUACACCGAGUUGAUAUCAGUGAAACCCAGAUCAUUUUGA
Molecule: transfer RNA, 69 nt
Filed under: Sphaenorhynchus lacteus (Orinoco lime treefrog)
Lineage: Eukaryota; Metazoa; Chordata; Amphibia; Anura; Hylidae
Description: tRNA-Val
Rfam family: tRNA
About the family: Transfer RNA (tRNA) molecules are approximately 80 nucleotides in length. Their secondary structure includes four short double-helical elements and three loops (D, anti-codon, and T loops).
Source: RNAcentral